RNAcentral lists this ribosomal RNA (495 nucleotides) under uncultured bacterium. RNAcentral's name for it is "partial 16S ribosomal RNA". It matches the Rfam family "Bacterial small subunit ribosomal RNA", at positions 28 to 507 of the family's 1533-position model. The record is from RNAcentral.
GACGAACGCUGGCGGCGUGCCUAAUACAUGCAAGUCGAACGCUGAAGGAGGAGCUUGCUUCUCUGGAUGAGUUGCGAACGGGUGAGUAACGCGUAGGUAACCUGCCUGGUAGCGGGGGAUAACUAUUGGAAACGAUAGCUAAUACCGCAUAAGAGUAGAUGUUGCAUGACAUUUGCUUAAAAGGUGCAAUUGCAUCACUACCAGAUGGACCUGCGUUGUAUUAGCUAGUUGGUGGGGUAACGGCUUACCAAGGCGACGAUACAUAGCCGACCUGAGAGGGUGAGCGGCCACACUGGGACGGAGACACGGCCCAGACGCCUACGGGAGGCAGCAGUAGGGAAUCUUCGGCAAUGGACGGAAGUCUGACCGAGCAACGCCGCGUGAGUGAAGAAGGUUGUCGGAUCGUAAAGCUCGGUUGUAAGAGAAGAACGAGUGUGAGAGUGGAAAGUUCACACUGUGACGGUAUCUGACCAGAAAGGGACGGCUAACUACGUG